Molecule: long non-coding RNA, 2648 nt
Organism: Drosophila mojavensis
Lineage: Eukaryota; Metazoa; Arthropoda; Insecta; Diptera; Drosophilidae
Exons: 2
Source: RefSeq, a predicted model, not a curated record
CAAACGAAAUCAUACAAAUUAAAAAAAAAAAAAAACAACAACAACAAAAACAACAAAAAUUUCCACACAUUUAAAGUUUUGUAGCUAUGAAAACGACUCACGUGAGCGCUGCUACAGCGACGUCAGCGUCGCAGUCGCAGUCGCUGAGCAGCAGCCACACAAAUACAAAUAUUAGAAAUAAUAACAACAAAAAGAAGGCAGAAAAAAACUAUACCGCGUGUAUGGCAGAUAAAUCAGAGAAAAACCUAAAAACAUUGAAAUGAACAGCAAAUGCCGCUUGCCGCAGUGCCCAAAACACACACAGAUACUACUUAUACAGUUACAAAUGCACUCGCACACACACACAUACAGAUGGAAAGACAAACGUCAGCGCCGCCGUCGCAUUGACGUAAUAGCAAAACUAUAGUACGAGCAGAGUAAAUUAAAAUAACACAAAUAAAUAAAAUGCCAGGCAGAACGAGUGCCGGCUGCGAUCUCAAAGAGAGACAACACACACACAGACACACACAUACACAGCGAGCGAGCGAGAGACAGAGAGAAAGGUGGCGAGCAUUUGAGAGCGCCGCGCACACUAAAUAUCAAAUUGAACUUUGAGACAGUGGAAAAUGCCCAAAGCCCAAAGAGCAAAUGGAACCAAUUAGAAACAACAACAAGAACAUUCAAUCGGAGAGCUGCCGAAGUACGACUUGAGGGAGAGUCGAGGCAGCUAAGCUAAGCUUCGGCUUCGGUUGCCAGCCGCUUGGUCGGUCCGGUCGUCGUGUAUUGAGUUGCGCGCGCGACGAAACGACGAGAAAACAAAAAUGGUUGCCAAAAAUAAAAGUUCAAAAUGUGCACAGCACGCGGCGCCACUACACUGAGCGCUCGUGAGAGGUGAGAGCGUGAGAGAGCAUAGCCGACGACGCGUGUUGUUGCUGUUUUUGUAUUUGAGUGUGUGAGUGUGUGCUUGUGCUUGUGCUUGCCCUUAGCCGCUGGGCGCUCUCUCUCACACACAAUCACACAUUAACAGCAGCGCCGCUCUCUGGCUCUGCUACCAUUGCUGGCAGCGAGCGGAUUUUUGUACACUUUGCAACGAGCGCGUGUGCCCAGUCAGAGUCAGAUGAACAGCCAAAGCCGUGUGGACGCAAAUUAAAUACAAACAACAAAAAUUGGCAAAGAAUAUUCAAUGCAAAAAAAUAAAAACUAAAACUAUGUGCAAAAAUUAACCGUAUUCAUUAAUAAUUGAUUGCUCACGACAAUUCAAAACAUGUUUCUAAAUUAGUCAUGAAAUAAAGUAAAUUAAAUCAAGUUCCACUAACGAAGCACGUGUGUCCAAUAAGAACAUUUAGUAACAAAAGCAAAAGGCGAAAAAAAAGUUUUUUUUUGGCCUGACAACCAAAGCAAACGGCAACGGCAACAGCAGCAGCAACGACAACAGUGCUUGUCUCUGCGGGUGUGUGUGUGUGUAAGCUUUUCAUAUGUGUAUUUGUGCGGGCGCUCAUAGUGCAAAAAUCCACAACAACAACAAGCAGCAUUAGCAACAACAACAACAAGCAUUGGCAAGGCGAAUAAAACACACAACAAAAACGCAAAAAGGAAACACAACAGUCUCACACACAUAUAAAUACGGUAAAUCAGCUGACUCGUGCGCACUCUCUGCCCACUCUCUCACCACGCGCUCUCACUCUCGCUCUCCGGAGUGCAUCCUAGCUGCAGCGGAAGCUAUAGUCAAAGCGGCGCUCAUUUGUGUAGAGAUUUAACGGCUUCCGCAUCCUACGCGACCCAACGAACUUCGAAACCGCUAGCCAAGUGCACUUAUAUUUGUCGAAUUGCGUGCGUGUGUGUGAGUGUGUGACUGUGCGUCUCGCUCUUGUCACAUGCGCGCUCAGUCAGCAUAGGCAGCGGGCAGCGGCAGCGCUACAGCGGCAGAACGACAGCGACAGCGACAGCGGCUACGUCGACGACACCCACAACGCCCGAAGACCGCACAAAACGAACAGUCGUCGUCAGGCAGCGGCAGCAGCAGCGUCAGCAGCAGCAGCAAUAACCAAAAAGAAAAAAAAACAAAUACACGCCACGCGCUCUAACAACAACACCAAUAGAAGCAGCUACACCAAAUUAUUUGACCACAAGGACAAAACAAAACAGCUAGCGAAUCGCGAAAGAAACGCGCGCGUUUUCCAACGCCUUAAUCAAUUCGUGCAGAAAAAAAAAACAACAGCAUAUACAGCGUGUAUUUUUGCUAGUCUGUGUGUGCGUGCGUGUGCGUGUGUUAGUGUGUGUGCGUCGGUGAGCUGUCAACAUUUCUCAUCGAUUUUCGGCUCGUCGUGUGUGUGUCCUGUCGUGUGCCUGCGUGUGUGUGUGCGCGCGCGCGCGUGUGUUUGAGUGUAAGAGCCAAAGUGCUAAAGCUAGUGUGCGCGCGUGUGUGUGAGUGUAGGUAUACUACACCCACCGCCCACCAGCGACCGACCGCCACCAUCAGCUCGAUCAGACAAAGCUCAAACAGAAUACUUGCUGUCCUUGUCGCACGCCGGGCGCUGAUUUCCGUGAAGGCCCACAACCCUAACUGUUUAUUAAGUUUGUUAACUAUGCCAUACUAGUGCUUUAUAACUGUACAAUAAAUACCAACUACAUAAAACAACAGAAACACGAGAGAACACAUCUCUAGAAAA